Molecule: transfer RNA, 78 nt
Filed under: compost metagenome
Description: tRNA-Lys
Source: RNAcentral
GGCCAUCGGCCAGGGCACGCAGCAAGCCGGCCUUUUGCGCCGGGGCAAGCCGCGAGGGAUCGAAGCCUUCGGCGGUCA